GGAGUUAGCCGGUGCUUCUUCUGUGAGUGAUGUCCUUCCUGCCGGCUAUUAACCCGCAGGCCUUCUUCCUCACUGAAAGUGCUUUACAACCCGAAGGCCUUCUUCACACACGCGGCAUGGCUGGAUCAGGGUUGCCCCCAUUGUCCAAUAUUCCCCACUGCUGCCUCCCGUAGGAGUCUGGGCCGUGUCUCAGUCCCAGUGUGGCUGAUCAUCCUCUCAGACCAGCUACGGAUCGUCGCCUUGGUGAGCCGUUACCUCACCAACCAGCUAAUCCGACAUAGGCUCAUCCGAUAGCGCGAGGCCCGAAGGUCCCCCGCUUUCCCCCGUAGGGCGUAUGCGGUAUUAGCCUGGGUUUCCCCAGGGUUAUCCCCCACUACCGGGCAGAUUCCUAUGCAUUACUCACCCGUCCGCCGCUCGCCACCAGGGAGCAAGCUCCCCGUGCUGCCGCUCGACUUGCAUGUGUUAGGCCUGCCGCCAGCGUUCAAUCUGAGCCAUAAUCAAACUCUGA
This 508-nucleotide ribosomal RNA is filed under the name uncultured bacterium. RNAcentral's name for it is "partial 16S ribosomal RNA". The record is from RNAcentral.